AGACAUUCCUAUGCAUGCUUUUGACAAAUAUUUAAAGUACCAUGCUUUCUUCCAUCCGAAGCAGUAAGUGUUUUCUAAAAUGAAUUCACCGUGCAUCUUUCUGAAGAUCAAUUUUGAUCACUUUACAAAGAAUUUUGGACGGGAUAUCUGAUGAGGGCAUGUGCUGUUCUAACUCCUGAUGCGCCAAAGCUCCAAGAGGAAGUUCACUGAAUCACUAACAGACGAUGAAUUGACAAGUAAACGAAUCAGUGGCCAUGCUCCUU
This 263-nucleotide unclassified non-coding RNA is filed under the name Hevea brasiliensis (rubber tree). Lineage: Eukaryota; Viridiplantae; Streptophyta; Magnoliopsida; Malpighiales; Euphorbiaceae. The record is from RNAcentral.